GAACGCUAGCUACAGGCUUAACACAUGCAAGUCGAGGGGCAGCAUGGUCUUAGCUUGCUAAGGCCGAUGGCGACCGGCGCACGGGUGAGUAACACGUAUCCAACCUGCCGUCUACUCUUGGACAGCCUUCUGAAAGGAAGAUUAAUACAAGAUGGCAUCAUGAGUCCGCAUGUUCACAUGAUUAAAGGUAUUCCGGUAGACGAUGGGGAUGCGUUCCAUUAGAUAGUAGGCGGGGUAACGGCCCACCUAGUCUUCGAUGGAUAGGGGUUCUGAGAGGAAGGUCCCCCACAUUGGAACUGAGACACGGUCCAAACUCCUACGGGAGGCAGCAGUGAGGAAUAUUGGUCAAUGGGCGAGAGCCUGAACCAGCCAAGUAGCGUGAAGGAUGACUGCCCUAUGGGUUGUAAACUUCUUUUAUAAAGGAAUAAAGUCGGGUAUGGAUACCCGUUUGCAUGUACUUUAUGAAUAAGGAUCGGCUAACUCCGUGCCAGCAGCCGCGGUAAUACGGAGGAUCCGAGCGUUAUCCGGAUUUAUUGGGUUUAAAGGGAGCGUAGAUGGAUGUUUAAGUCAGUUGUGAAAGUUUGCGGCUCAACCGUAAAAUUGCAGUUGAUACUGGAUAUCUUGAGUGCAGUUGAGGCAGGCGGAAUUCGUGGUGUAGCGGUGAAAUGCUUAGAUAUCACGAAGAACUCCGAUUGCGAAGGCAGCCUGCUAAGCUGCAACUGACAUUGAGGCUCGAAAGUGUGGGUAUCAAACAGGAUUAGAUACCCUGGUAGUCCACACGGUAAACGAUGAAUACUCGCUGUUUGCGAUAUACAGCAAGCGGCCAAGCGAAAGCGUUAAGUAUUCCACCUGGGGAGUACGCCGGCAACGGUGAAACUCAAAGGAAUUGACGGGGGCCCGCACAAGCGGAGGAACAUGUGGUUUAAUUCGAUGAUACGCGAGGAACCUUACCCGGGCUUAAAUUGCAGAUGAAUUACGGUGAAAGCCGUAAGCCGCAAGGCAUCUGUGAAGGUGCUGCAUGGUUGUCGUCAGCUCGUGCCGUGAGGUGUCGGCUUAAGUGCCAUAACGAGCGCAACCCUUGUUGUCAGUUACUAACAGGUUCCGCUGAGGACUCUGACAAGACUGCCAUCGUAAGAUGUGAGGAAGGUGGGGAUGACGUCAAAUCAGCACGGCCCUUACGUCCGGGGCUACACACGUGUUACAAUGGGGGGUACAGAGGGCCGCUACCACGCGAGUGGAUGCCAAUCCCCAAAACCUCUCUCAGUUCGGACUGGAGUCUGCAACCCGACUCCACGAAGCUGGAUUCGCUAGUAAUCGCACAUCAGCCACGGCGCGGUGAAUACGUUCCCGGGCCUUGUACACACCGCCCGUCAAGCCAUGGGAGCCGGGGGUACCUGAAGUGCGUAACCGCGAGGAGCGCCCUAGGGUAAAACUGGUGACUGGGGCUAAG
Molecule: ribosomal RNA, 1450 nt
Filed under: uncultured organism
Description: SSU rRNA
Rfam family: Bacterial small subunit ribosomal RNA
Source: RNAcentral